GUAGGGAAUCUUCCGCAAUGGACGAAAGUCUGACGGAGCAACGCCGCGUGAGUGAUGAAGGCUUUCGGGUCGUAAAACUCUGUUGUUAGGGAAGAACAAGUACGAGAGUAACUGCUCGUACCUUGACGGUACCUAACCAGAAAGCCACGGCUAACUACGUGCCAGCAGCCGCGGUAAUACGUAGGUGGCAAGCGUUAUCCGGAAUUAUUGGGCGUAAAGCGCGCGCAGGCGGUUUCUUAAGUCUGAUGUGAAAGCCCACGGCUCAACCGUGGAGGGUCAUUGGAAACUGGGGAACUUGAGUGCAGAAGAGAAAAGCGGAAUUCCACGUGUAGCGGUGAAAUGCGUAGAGAUGUGGAGGAACACCAGUGGCGAAGGCGGCUUUUUGGUCUGUAACUGACGCUGAGGCGCGAAAGCGUGGGGAGCAAACAGGAUUAGAUACCCUGGUAGUCCACGCCGUAAACGAUGAGUGCUAAGUGUUAGAGGGUUUCCGCCCUUUAGUGCUGCAGCUAACGCAUUAAGCACUCCGCCUGGGGAGUACGGUCGCAAGACUGAAACUCAAAGGAAUUGACGGAAGC
This 575-nucleotide ribosomal RNA is filed under the name uncultured bacterium. RNAcentral's name for it is "bacterial SSU rRNA". It matches the Rfam family "Bacterial small subunit ribosomal RNA", at positions 354 to 920 of the family's 1533-position model. The record is from RNAcentral.